CUCAGGCCAAACUUCAUGGCUUAAGGCUGAAACGGCCAGGGCCAAGGCAAGAAGCCUUACUAGAUAUACCAAGUUUAGGUGGGUCCUCUCUGUAGGGGAUGCUGUAGCCACGCCUGCUUAGGGGCUGGCUACAGGUGUGCCUGACCACACCUGGUCAGGGUGACAUAGGGAAAGUUUAAGAGGAGGGAUGCUUUACUUGGUGGCCUGCUUUCACUUUCAUCUUCAGCUUGCUGUACUUCUGCUGCCUGCCGGCUGGCUAGGUCACUCUGGCCACACGUCUCUACGUGGACUCAAGAAAGCCGGUACCUGGGGACACCAUGUAGAGCUUGCUUUGAAUGAGGCUGGGCUUUCCAGUGGUCCUGUCCACCUAGAUAACUGCUGACACUGGAUUGCAAUCCCAGAACUGAAGAGGCAGAGAAAGACAGAUUCCUG
This 432-nucleotide long non-coding RNA is filed under the name Cricetulus griseus (Chinese hamster). Its description in RNAcentral is "lncRNA (ENSCGRG00015035983.1)". The record is from RNAcentral. Lineage: Eukaryota; Metazoa; Chordata; Mammalia; Rodentia; Cricetidae.